Molecule: ribosomal RNA, 306 nt
Filed under: uncultured archaeon
Lineage: Archaea
Description: partial 16S ribosomal RNA
Rfam family: Archaeal small subunit ribosomal RNA
Source: RNAcentral
CUGACUGCUAUCGGAUUGGUACUAAGCCAUGCGAGUCAUGUGCAUACAGGCCCNNNGCGGGGNGGGNNNACGGUCAGUACAGUAUCAACUAACUCGUGACGUGGAUAACCCUCGGGAAACUGAGAAUAAACCACGAAUAGAUCAUUAUGCCNUGGAAUGGCUUAUGGUCCAAAUAGUUUAUGCAUGGGAUGGGACUGCGGCCUAUCAGCUUGUUGGUGAGGUAAUGGCCCACCAAGGCUAUAACAGGUACGGGCUCUGAGAGGAGAAGCCCGGCACGAUGCGGUACUGAGACACGGACCCAGGCCC